RNAcentral lists this unclassified non-coding RNA (350 nucleotides) under uncultured fungus. RNAcentral describes it as "partial contains 5.8S ribosomal RNA and internal transcribed spacer 2". The stretch from base 1 to 133 matches the Rfam family "5.8S ribosomal RNA", at positions 22 to 154 of the family's 154-position model. Lineage: Eukaryota; Fungi. The record is from RNAcentral.
UGGUUCUGGCAUCGAUGAAGAACGCAGCGAAAUGCGAUAAGUAAUGUGAAUUGCAGAAUUCAGUGAAUCAUCGAAUCUUUGAACGCACAUUGCGCCCAUUAGUAUUCUAGUGGGCAUGCCUGUUCGAGCGUCAUUUCAACCCUUAAGCCUGGCUUAGUGUUGGGAAUCUACGUUUUGGGCGGUCCUACCCUGUAGCGGCCUACCCUGUAGUUCCUAAAAAUUAACGGCGGAACUGUGGUUUCCUCUGAGCGUAGUAAUUUUUAUCUCGCUUUUGUUAGGUACUGCUGCUCUUGCCGCUAAACCCCUAAUUUUCAAUGGUUGACCUCGGAUCAGGUAGGAAUACCCGCUGA